Molecule: long non-coding RNA, 878 nt
Organism: Nicotiana attenuata
Lineage: Eukaryota; Viridiplantae; Streptophyta; Magnoliopsida; Solanales; Solanaceae
Exons: 3
Source: RefSeq, a predicted model, not a curated record
AACUUUUCCCCUAAAUCCUUUCCCUCCCUAAAUCUUUUCUGCCCCAAAAAAUAAUUAUGCCCAAAAAUAUUCCACCAAGUUAAGUUUUACCUAAAUUAUUCCCGUACUUCUUCUUCCCUAAAACAUGGUUCUUGUCAUCUAGUUAAGCAGAUUAGGGUAGAUUUUGUGAAAAUUGCUGAUGGAGAUGCUUAAUUUCUUCUAAUUGCUCUUCUCAAAAGUCAAAACCCUCUUAUUUAGGUUUCAAUUGGGAAGUUCGUUUGCUUAGGGUUGCAACUGCUAUAAACUUCAUUUUUGCACAGCGUUUCAGCAUUUCCGCACAGCGUUUCAGCACAUCAUUUAGGCAAUUUCUGCGUUUAGGGCAGUGUUUGGAAGGAGCAGCCUGGUCGAAUACGCUGUUAUGGUAGAUCAGUGACAACAAGUUCUCUGAAAAAAGAUGAGGAAAUCAAUAAGCUCCAACAAAAGCAUAACAACGAAGUCUCUACUUUGAAAGCAGAAAUGCAAGAAAUGAGAGAAGAAAUGCAUGAAUUGAGGCAAAUGCGUCAUUGCUUUAAUCUACUGGUGAAAAACAAUCCUGAACUUUUUAGUUCAGAUAUACAAGGAUUUGUCGGAUCUAACCAACCUUCUCCGGUUGAUGCAAGUAGCGCACAAGCUGUAAGGGGCCAAAAUCUCCCACAUUCUUCUUGAUCAACCCAUGGUCCAAUUCUUGAAAAGGAGAAAGCGGAUGAUGCAAUUGAAAAUGGUGUCCGAAAGUCAAUUUGAUCUUAAUGUGAAUGCAAAUAAUUUUUGGAUAAUUAAGAUGUCUAAUAUUCAUGAUACUAUAUGAAUAUACUCACUUUUGAAAAGUUUAUUGUUAAUGAGCAUUUUGACACACUGUUUUA